Molecule: ribosomal RNA, 253 nt
Filed under: uncultured bacterium
Lineage: Bacteria
Description: partial 16S ribosomal RNA
Rfam family: Bacterial small subunit ribosomal RNA
Source: RNAcentral
UACGUAUGGUGCGAACGUUGUUCGGAAUCACUGGGCAUAAAGAGCACGUAGGCGGCCAACUAAGUCAGACGUGAAAUCCCUCGGCUUAACCGGGGAACUGCAUCUGAUACUGGAUGGCUUGAGAUUGGGAGAGGGAUGCGGAAUUCCAGGUGUAGCGGUGAAAUGCGUAGAUAUCUGGAGGAACACCGGUGGCGAAGGCGGCAUCCUGGACCAACACUGACGCUGAGGAGCGAAAGCCAGGGGAGCAAACGGG